Long non-coding RNA from Nerophis ophidion (straightnose pipefish), 678 nucleotides. RefSeq lists it as uncharacterized. Lineage: Eukaryota; Metazoa; Chordata; Actinopteri; Syngnathiformes; Syngnathidae. The transcript is spliced from 2 exons. The record is from RefSeq and is a predicted model, not a curated record.
UUGGAUGUUUACUGAGGGCUGAGGGGUGUGUGCAGGUGUGUGUCUGCUGCGCAGCCUGUGGAAUGUUGAAUACACGCACAGCGGAGGGAGGGAUGAAAGGGAAGCCGACACUACUAUAUCGUGUGUGUCCCUUUUUCGGCGGAUUUUUCCGCUAGUGCAGAUAAUUUUGUCAACUUGUAAUGUAGUAAUUUUGUGAGUUUAUUAAAAUUUGCUUUCUCAAAUUUUGAUUUGAGGGGGCAAGACAUUUAUUUAAGGGGGCCCUGCCCCCUCUUGCCCAUGCGUAGAGCCGGUGUUGUGCCGAAUUCUGCACCCCCGCCGUAAAAUGCACCCCCUGUCGGGAGCGCGCUUACGUCACUCGGUUGCGUCACCCGUCUCGAAAAGUAGCUAAACUCGGCUAAAAUCGCCUCUUUCGGCAUAAAAAUGUACAUAACAAGGUGAAUAAUCCAAGUUGUCUUUACUUUGGAUAUAUUAAUGGAUGGAUUAAUUGUGAUUCUUCAAUGAUUUCGCCGUCAUUGCCUUUAAUGAUUUCGUCGUCAUUCAGAGACAUCAAGGAGAACGAAUGUUUGCUGCUUCACUCGACGGGAUCCAAUACAUGUAUUUUAAAAAUAUGACAUUUUCUUUAACUGUAAGAAGCUCAUGGGUGGAUAGAUGAAUACAUUAAUAAAUGAAUGCAUCUGA